RNAcentral lists this transfer RNA (455 nucleotides) under uncultured delta proteobacterium. Its description in RNAcentral is "partial 16S-23S ribosomal RNA intergenic spacer". The stretch from base 133 to 206 matches the Rfam family "tRNA". Lineage: Bacteria; Deltaproteobacteria. The record is from RNAcentral.
CCUCCUUUCUAGGGAGUAAUCCCGCAUUCUGCGGGAUACGGUCGGAACUGUUUUCACUUCCUGCGUAUACCAAAAAAUAUUCAUGUGGGCUUGCGUUUAUCUUGAUGGACACAAUUACAAUUGGUUGAACAUGGGCCUGUAGCUCAGGUGGUUAGAGCGCACGCCUGAUAAGCGUGAGGUCGGAAGUUCAAGUCUUCCCAGGCCCACUGUUUUUGAAAAAAUAAUCUAGUCCCUGCAAUGAUAUAUUAAAAUUGCUGAGGGGCUGUAGCUCAAUUGGGAGAGCACCUGGUUUGCAACCAGGAGGUCGUCGGUUCGAUCCCGGUCAGCUCCACUAAAAAGUUUUUUGACAAUUGGUCAAUGGAUUCACCGAUUAAACAUUCAUUUAGAAUACACAAGCGUUGGAAAAAGUUACUAAGGGCGCACGGAGGAUGCCUUGGCAUAUGGAGGCGAUGAAG